UGGGGAAUAUUGCGCAAUGGCCGCAAGGCUGACGCAGCGACGCCGCGUGUGGGAUGACGGCCUUCGGGUUGUAAACCACUGUCGGGAGGGACGAAUACUCGGCUUCGAAUAGGAGCCCGAGGGUGACGGUACCUCCAAAGGAAGCACCGGCUAACUCCGUGCCAGCAGCCGCGGUAAUACGGAGGGUGCGAGCGUUGUCCGGAAUCACUGGGCGUAAAGGGCGCGUAGGUGGCUCGUUAAGUUGCCGGUGAAAUCCCGGGGCUCAACUCCGGGGCUGCCGGUAAGACUGGCGGGCUCGAGCACGGUAGAGGCAGAUGGAAUUCCCGGUGUAGCGGUGGAAUGCGUAGAGAUCGGGAAGAACACCAGUGGCGAAGGCGUUCUGCUGGGCCGUUGCUGACACUGAGGCGCGACAGCGUGGGGAGCAAACAGGAUUAGAUACCCCCGUAGUCC
RNAcentral lists this ribosomal RNA (450 nucleotides) under uncultured bacterium. RNAcentral describes it as "bacterial SSU rRNA". It matches the Rfam family "Bacterial small subunit ribosomal RNA", at positions 355 to 796 of the family's 1533-position model. The record is from RNAcentral.